This 678-nucleotide small RNA is filed under the name Pongo abelii (Sumatran orangutan). RNAcentral's name for it is "processed transcript". Lineage: Eukaryota; Metazoa; Chordata; Mammalia; Primates; Hominidae. The record is from RNAcentral.
GGCGAGCCGACCUCUGGGCUAACCUAACACCGGAGCCAUGGCCUCUGCUGGGGUCGCAGCCGGGCGACAGGCGGAGGAUGUAUUGCCGCCAACGUCCGACCAGCCGCUGCCUGACACCAAGCCGCUGCCGCCUCCUCAGCCGCCGCCGGUCCCUGCGCCUCAACCGCAGCAGUCGCCGGCGCCACGGCCUCAGUCACCUGCCCGCGCGAGGGAGGAAGAGAACUACUCCUUUUUACCUUUGGUUCACAACAUCAUCAAAUGGUAAGAACCUAGGAGAGGACCAGGCCCCAUACUCCCUCCAGCUUCUCCUCUCAGCCGUUUCAGAGCUACAAGAGGCCUUGGCGCUCUGGGGCACGCCCCCGUUUCACAGAUGGGGAAACUCAGACCCAGAGCGGGAAGAGGCCUUUCCCAAGACCACAGACACAUUCCAUGAGUUAAUAAGCAAACGAUUUGAGCCUCGAGAGGUGCGAUAUCCUUAAGAAUGAAGGCAGCUUAGAGACUACAUGCAGACUCUUGUCCAGCGGCUCAAAUGUACAUCCCAGCGAUCUUGAGCAAAUCUCUUUAAGCCUCAGUUUUCUCACCUUUAAUGUUGGUAAUACUCACUUUAGUUCCGUAGUUCAACAAACUCAACAGAUAAGCAUCAUCUUCCCUGUGCCAAGUGCUACGGGAUGGACACAG